This 524-nucleotide ribosomal RNA is filed under the name uncultured Prevotella sp. RNAcentral's name for it is "bacterial SSU rRNA". It matches the Rfam family "Bacterial small subunit ribosomal RNA", at positions 8 to 521 of the family's 1533-position model. Lineage: Bacteria; Pseudomonadati; Bacteroidota; Bacteroidia; Bacteroidales; Prevotellaceae. The record is from RNAcentral.
AGAGUUUGAUCCUGGCUCAGGAUGAACGCUAGCUACAGGCUUAACACAUGCAAGUCGAGGGGCAGCAUGAUCUUAGCUUGCUAAGAUUGACGGCGACCGGCGCACGGGUGAGUAACGCGUAUCCAACCUUCCCCUUAGUAGGGCAUAGCCCGGCGAAAGUCGGAUUAAUACCCUAUGUUUUCCGAUGAGGACAUCUGAGCUGGAAUAAAGAUUUAUCGCUAAGGGAUGGGGAUGCGUCUGAUUAGGUUGUUGGCGGGGUAACGGCCCACCAAGCCUUCGAUCAGUAGGGGUUCUGAGAGGAAGGUCCCCCACACUGGUACUGAGACACGGACCAGACUCCUACGGGAGGCAGCAGUGAGGAAUAUUGGUCAAUGGGCGCGAGCCUGAACCAGCCAAGUAGCGUGCAGGACGACUGCCCUAUGGGUUGUAAACUGCUUUUAUGCGGGGAUAAAGUGGCGUACGUGUACGUUUUUGCAGGUACCGCAUGAAUAAGGACCGGCUAAUUCCGUGCCAGCAGCCGCGGU